GGAGGUUGGACACUUUUUAGCUGCAUUUCCCAAACAAGAAAAAUUAAGCGUUCCUUUCUUCAUUCCCCAUAUCACAUUUGGCAGCUUUGGUGCCAUUACUCAGAAAACCAACUGUGUGGAGUGGUUUGAAUUUUGAAUGUUCCAAAAUUGGAAGUGAAGAUAAAAGAAUGGCAAACUCCACAACUGCUCAACCAAACUCCGAAAAAUAUGAGUUGAAUGGAUAUGAAAAUAAAGUAACUUACUUCACUUCAACACAAUCAAGGGAUUUUCUUGUGGUAUUCUUCUAGCUUAUACAUUUGCUUUUGCUUCAUUACCCGUUAUUGUUGCCACUCAAGUUCAAAUCCAACUUCGAUACCAACAACAACAACAAAACACUGAUUACGUUUUAAUUAUUUAUUUUAAAAAUUAUUAUCAACGUCGACGUGUCAAUAUCGGUGUCGUGCUUAUUAUAUAUAGGAAGCAACUGGUAUAGAAUAAGAAACUUUGAAUUCUUUAUUAUGUGAAAAUUAUGAUAUAUAUUCUUUAUUUUCUUUCUUUUGAUGUUUGAUCCAGUGCAAAUUUUUAAGUUUCAGUAAUGUAAAUCAAUAAGUUUCAGUAAUGUGUUCAAACAUGGAUGAAUUCAAAGGACAGGCUCGUCUUCCUAAUUUCGUUGUUCCAAAACGUUACGACAUUAAGCUUAAACCCGACCUCAUCGAAUGUCGUUUCUGCGGUUCUGUUGUCUUCAAUCUCGACAUCAUCACCGCUACUCAUUUCAUCGUUCUCAAUGCCGCUGAACUCACCAUCGGUAACGACGCUGUUUCAUUCACUAACUGUCAUUUCUCUAAGGGACUACUCUCAUUUCUCAACUCUUUUUGGUCAACUUAAGUUUUUUCUGUUACCAUAAUUUUUUUUCUGAUUUAGGAUUGAUGAAUGUCUAUGUUGUAGGUUUUCAAACCUUCAAAAGUUGAAUUAUUUGAAGAUGAUGAAAUUCUCGUCUUGGAGUUUCCAGAGGGAAUAUCUAUUGGAUUGGGUUGGGUGUAUUGACAAUUCAGUUUGAUGGAAUAUUGAAUGAUAGAAUGAAAGGUUUUUACCGAAGCUACAUUUUGGAAGGUAGAGAGUUGGAAUUUUACAUGAAAAGGCUUCAUAAGAAAAAGAGAAAGGGUGCUGCUUGAUAACUUUCCAAAUUAUUAUUUUACCUUAUUUUACAUGAAUUUUAUUUGUCCUAUUUAUUUUAAAAGUUAAAUGAUAGUACUAUCUCUGAGCCAGCUGGUUGAACCAAAAAAUUCUUUUCU
This is a long non-coding RNA of Vicia villosa (hairy vetch), 1271 nucleotides long. RefSeq lists it as uncharacterized. The transcript is spliced from 4 exons. NCBI's taxonomy places the organism in Eukaryota, Viridiplantae, Streptophyta, Magnoliopsida, Fabales, Fabaceae. The record is from RefSeq and is a predicted model, not a curated record.